GUAGGUGAACCUGCGGAAGGAUCAUUAACACGUAUCCAACGUAAAAAACCCCCCUGUGAACAUUCAGACCUGCUCUCGUAGCCCAGUGCGAUCCAGCAAUCCCGGUAAAUCAUUGUCGAACAGUAUUGAUUCGGGACUUCUGACAAAUGAGAAGUUACAGUUACGGAGGCAUGGCAUCCCGAAGCAGUCGCUUAGGGUCGCUCACCGACCAGCAGACAUGCGACCGGGUCCCGACUCCCCUUUACAACCCCAUUACCUCUGUGACUCCACGGGAAACCAGUGGGGAAAAAAAACUCGAACAACUGGUAACAAUGGAUGUCUUGGUUCUC
Molecule: unclassified non-coding RNA, 329 nt
Filed under: rhizosphere metagenome
Description: partial ribosomal RNA internal transcribed spacer region
Source: RNAcentral